This 230-nucleotide long non-coding RNA is filed under the name Musa acuminata (dwarf banana). RNAcentral describes it as "long non-coding RNA (MACU_LNC011884)". The record is from RNAcentral. Lineage: Eukaryota; Viridiplantae; Streptophyta; Magnoliopsida; Zingiberales; Musaceae.
UGGAGUAGGUCAUUUGACCGAACCACUCUAAAAAUCGGCGUAAUCUCUGGUUUACUUUUUAUUAUUGUCAUUUACAUUACUGCAAAUCUUCUUACUGCUUUAGUUUGUAUUACUCUUGCUGCGCAACUUUAAGAAUACGCCUUCAAGUUAAAUUUCUCAAGUUUCGUUCUUAACGUACGAAAGAUUUUGAUUAAAAUCGAAGUUUUAAUCCGCUGCACUAAUUCACCCCC